RNAcentral lists this ribosomal RNA (637 nucleotides) under Psathyrella sp. TENN61733. RNAcentral's name for it is "eukaryotic LSU rRNA". The stretch from base 272 to 425 matches the Rfam family "5.8S ribosomal RNA". The record is from RNAcentral. Lineage: Eukaryota; Fungi; Basidiomycota; Agaricomycetes; Agaricales; Psathyrellaceae.
GCGGAAGGAUCAUUAUCGAAUAAACUUGACGCAGUUGUAGCUGGCUCUUAGGAGCAUGUGCACGCUCGUCACUUUUAUCUUUCCACCUGUGCACCCACUGUAGGCCUGGAUACCUCUCGCUUGGUAUCAAGCGGAUGCGAGGAUUGCUGCUGCUCUUUCUGAAAGGGAAGGCCGGCUCUCCUUGAAUUUCCAGGUCUAUGUUUUUCUUACACACCCCAAUAGAAUGUUACCGAAUGUCAUCAAUGGGCUUUAUGCCUAUAAAACACAAUACAACUUUCAGCAACGGAUCUCUUGGCUCUCGCAUCGAUGAAGAACGCAGCGAAAUGCGAUAAGUAAUGUGAAUUGCAGAAUUCAGUGAAUCAUCGAAUCUUUGAACGCACCUUGCGCUCCUUGGUAUUCCGAGGAGCAUGCCUGUUUGAGUGUCAUUAAAUUCUCAACCUCUUCAGCUUUUGUUGAUGAGGCUUGGAUGUGGGGGUUUYGCAGGUCUGCCUUAAUUGUGCGGUCUGCUCCCCUGAAAUGUAUUAGCGGGUUGGCUUCCRUCUAUUGGUGUGAUAAUUAUCUACGCCGUGGAUGGGUUUGGCUUUCAGACCAGCUUCUAACCGUCCUUUGGACAAUUCUUGACAUUUUUGACCUCAAA